This 489-nucleotide ribosomal RNA is filed under the name uncultured bacterium. RNAcentral describes it as "bacterial SSU rRNA". It matches the Rfam family "Bacterial small subunit ribosomal RNA", at positions 37 to 524 of the family's 1533-position model. The record is from RNAcentral.
UGGCGGCGUGCUAAUCAUGCAAGUCGAGCGGGUAUCGAAAGAUACCAGCGGCGGACGGGUGAGGAACACGUGGGGAAUCUGCCUAACAGACCGGAAUAACGCCUGGAAACGGGUGCUAAGGCCGGAUAGGCGCAUGAGGCGCAUGCCUGAUGCGGGAAAGGAUGCUAUGGCAUCGCUGAGAGAGGACCCCGCGGCGCAUUAGCUAGUUGGUAGGGUAAAGGCCUACCAAGGCGACGAUGCGUAGCCGACCUGAGAGGGUGACCGGCCACACUGGGACUGAGACACGGCCCAGACUCCUACGGGAGGCAGCAGUAGGGAAUCUUCCGCAAUGGGCGCAAGCCUGACGGAGCAACGCCGCGUGAGCGAGGAAGGCCUUCGGGUUGUAAAGCUCAGUCAAGGGGGAAGAGCGGCAAGGAGAGGGAAUGCUCUUUGCGAGACGGUACCCCAAGAGGAAGCCCCGGCAAACUACGUGCCAGCAGCCGCGGUAAU